RNAcentral lists this small RNA (104 nucleotides) under Ovis aries (sheep). RNAcentral's name for it is "Y RNA (ENSOARG00000024896.1)". Lineage: Eukaryota; Metazoa; Chordata; Mammalia; Artiodactyla; Bovidae. The record is from RNAcentral.
GGCUGGUCCAAGUGCAGUGGUGCUUACAAUUAAGUGAUCACAGCCAGUUACAGAUUUCUUUAUCAAGGAGGAAAUGGCAACCCACUCCAGUAUUUUUGCCUAGA